RNAcentral lists this ribosomal RNA (664 nucleotides) under uncultured marine eukaryote. RNAcentral's name for it is "SSU rRNA". It matches the Rfam family "Eukaryotic small subunit ribosomal RNA", at positions 1 to 675 of the family's 1831-position model. The record is from RNAcentral.
AACCUGGUUGAUCCUGCCAGUAGUCAUAUGCUUGUCUCAAAGAUUAAGCCAUGCAUGUCUAAGUAUAAGCGACUAUACUGUGAAACUGCGAAUGGCUCAUUAAAUCAGUUAUGGUUUAUUUGAUGGUACCUACUACUUGGAUAACCGUAGUAAUUCUAGAGCUAAUACAUGCAGGAAGACCCGACUUACGAAGGGUUGUAUUUAUUAGAUAAGAAACCAAUCCCCUCGGGGUUGCGUGCUGAGUCACAAUAACUGCUCGAAUCGCAUGGCUUUACGCCGGCGAUGGUUCAUUCAAAUUUCUGCCCUAUCAGCUUUCGAUGGUAGGAUCGAGGCCUACCAUGGCGUUUACGGGUAACGGAGAAUUAGGGUUCGAUUCCGGAGAGGGAGCCUGAGAAAUGGCUACCACAUCCAAGGAAGGCAGCAGGCGCGUAAAUUGCCCGAAUCCUGACACAGGGAGGUAGUGACAAGAAAUAACAAUACAGGGCUAAUCUAGUCUUGUAAUUGGAAUGAGUACAAUUUACAUCUCUUCACGAAGAUCAAUUGGAGGGCAAGUCUGGUGCCAGCAGCCGCGGUAAUCCAGCUCCAAUAGCGUAUAUUAAGUUGUUGCAGUUAAAAGCUGUAGUGGAUUCUGCAGGAGCGUCGGUCUGCACUAGUGUGGAACCUG